GUUCCUUUCUCCAGCGCCACCUGGGCACAGAACCCGCUCGGAGGUGGCCUCCUGGUGGCUGGAACGUGCUUUCGCCUGCGGGGCCCAGUGUCCGGACCCCACUGGAUCUGUGGAAAAAAACCAAAGUUGCGAAGCGCUGGAGCCCGUGCAGCAACCGGACAGCAGAAUGAACUCCGCUGCUUUUCUAUGUUGGCUGAGAGAAGGGCGGGAGACUUGCCUCGUAAGGCGCGGCGAAGGGGUGGGAGGGCCCUACCUGCAGCACUCAGACGCUUAGGAUGUGUUUCAAGAAGGCUGCAGAGAGAGGAGGCAAGAGGGGCUUCAGAAGCAGGCCUUUGGAUAAUACAUCUGACUCUAGAGACUCACCACCACUUUGGAGAGAUCGACUGGAGGCUCCUGGGUUUUCUGAGGGGCCUGGGGGACAGCUGGCUCAGCUUUGGUCUUGGCUGGAGGAGCCCCUGCUGCUGCUGGCUUAGCAGCAGGUUUGGAGAUGGAGGGCCCUGCUGGUUUCUUCACGGGAACAUCCUUCUUGGGAGGCAUGAUGUCCGGUGGCCAAAGGACAGUGUGCGGAUGGGGGC
Molecule: long non-coding RNA, 575 nt
Filed under: Homo sapiens (human)
Lineage: Eukaryota; Metazoa; Chordata; Mammalia; Primates; Hominidae
Description: non-protein coding lnc-SMARCC2-2:4
Source: RNAcentral